GACAGAGGUCCCGAGCGUUAGGCGGAAUCACUGGGCUUAAAGCGUGUGUAGGCGGAUGCCUAAGUACCUUGUGAAAUCCCACGGCUCACCCGUGGAACUGCUUGGUAUACUGGGUGUCUUGAGCCACUCAGGGGCUACCGGAACAAACGGUGGAGCGGUGAAAUGCGUAGAUAUCAGGAGGAACACCGGUGGCGAAGGCGGGUCUCUGGGCCGAUACUGACGCUGAGGAGCGAAAGCGUGGGGAGCGAACAGG
RNAcentral lists this ribosomal RNA (253 nucleotides) under uncultured bacterium. RNAcentral describes it as "partial 16S ribosomal RNA". It matches the Rfam family "Bacterial small subunit ribosomal RNA", at positions 524 to 776 of the family's 1533-position model. The record is from RNAcentral.